RNAcentral lists this ribosomal RNA (254 nucleotides) under uncultured bacterium. Its description in RNAcentral is "partial 16S ribosomal RNA". It matches the Rfam family "Bacterial small subunit ribosomal RNA", at positions 524 to 776 of the family's 1533-position model. The record is from RNAcentral.
UACGUAGGGGGCGAGCGUUGUCCGGAUUUAUUGGGCGUAAAGAGCUCGUAGGCGGCUUGGCAAGUCGGGUGUGAAACCUCCAGGCUCAACCUGGAGACGCCACUCGAUACUGCCAUGGCUAGAGUCCGGUAGGGGACCACGGAAUUCCUGGUGUAGCGGUGAAAUGCGCAGAUAUCAGGAGGAACACCAGUGGCGAAGGCGGUGCUCUGGGCCGGAACUGACGCUGAGGAGCGAAAGCGUGGGGAGCAAACAGG